GUACAUUAAAAAUAGCUUUCUGUAACUCAGCUGUUCAUAAUAAAAGUUUGCCAUUUGUUUUUUUACAGGGCGGAUCAGACAGAACAUGAUUUUCUCUUCCCUUAUGCUGCUCUGACUCUACUGAGUUCAGAAGGAUGACUCUUGAUUUAUGCUGGGCAAGAAAGGCAAUGCUCUGAAAGAAAUGACUGCAUUUUCCUAACCUCCAAAGGAGGAAAAAAAAGAGAUACAGAAAGAAAAGCCAGCAGCAGGCAUCAGAAGAGACAGAAAGAAGUAAGAAAGCAGUCGGCAGCCGGAGACAGGACCCAAAAAGGAGACGACUUCUGGCUAUUUUAAGGUUUAUUUCUUAGUUAGAUGAAGCUAUGGAAGCUCUAACGGACCAGGUCUUUUCAGUACAACUGCACUGGGAAGUCAUUCAAGGUAUGUCUGCAGACUCAGCUUUGUGAGUACCUUUAUCUGUAUAAAUGGUUUAUAGAAAUAAAUGUCACAUUCUCUGGUAAAAUGAGAGAUAC
This 509-nucleotide long non-coding RNA is filed under the name Dromaius novaehollandiae (emu). RNAcentral describes it as "lncRNA (ENSDNVG00000014836.1)". The record is from RNAcentral. Lineage: Eukaryota; Metazoa; Chordata; Aves; Casuariiformes; Dromaiidae.